RNAcentral lists this unclassified non-coding RNA (3636 nucleotides) under Hevea brasiliensis (rubber tree). Lineage: Eukaryota; Viridiplantae; Streptophyta; Magnoliopsida; Malpighiales; Euphorbiaceae. The record is from RNAcentral.
GUCAAUGGUCAAAAAAAAAGGUUGACUAAUGGUCACAGCUUUCUAGGUUCAUCUCAUAGACAAAAAUUGCAUAGCUCUCUCCUGAUUCCUCACUCUCAACUCUGAAUCUUACACUGUAAUUCAACUCACAUUUUUAACAGCUUUUUUUUUGGUUCUGUUAUGGUCUUGGAAAGAUCAGAUUUAUAAGAUCAGAUUUAUAGCUUCAACCUUGUUCUAGGCAAUGGAGUCGAAGAAGGGUAAACUUGUAAGGUUUUAUUCUGAUGGAAAACAAUAUAGAGAAACAUCAUGGGGAAAAAAUGAUCUUGUACACCCAGAGAUGUCUUCUGCAGACAAAGUUUCGUCGUCAUUGCUAAAAGCAGACAAUGGGAUGAUGGGUGGUAGAAAUAGAUUAACAGAGAGUAGCAAAGUUGGGAGGUCCAAGGUUUUUCCAGCAGACCAUGCAUCAUGGCAUCAUAGGAUGCUUGAUCCAGGAAGCGAUAUUGUGCUGCGAUGGAACAGGAUUUUCCUUGUCUCAUGCUUGCUGGCACUUUUUGUUGAUCCACUGUACUUUUACUUGCCUAUUGUUGGAGGGGAUGAAGAAUCUUUAUGUGUCAAUGGUGACUCAAAAUUGCGAAUAGUUGUAACAUUUUUUCGGACUGUUGCAGAUCUUUUUUAUUUGUUGCACAUGAUUAUAAAGUUCAGGACUGCUUAUGUUGCUCCAAACACUCGUGUCUUUGGGAGGGGCGAACUUGUUAUGGAUCCAAAGAAGAUUGCUUGGAGAUAUAUUAGAUCUGACUUCUUCAUUGAUCUUAUUGCCACACUGCCUCUACCUCAGAUUGUAAUCUGGUUUAUCAUACCAGCAGCAAGAAGUCGAACAACUGAUCAUAAGAACAAUGCACUUGCAUUAAUUGUUCUGCUACAAUAUAUUCCCAGAUUAUAUCUAAUUUUUCCUUUGAGUUCUGAAAUCAUUAAAGCAGCUGGAGUAGUCACAAGAACAGCUUGGGCAGGGGCUGUAUAUAAUUUGCUACUGUACAUGUUGGCAAGCCAUGUUUUAGGAGCAGCAUGGUAUUUGCUAUCUGUUGAUAGGUAUAAAUCUUGCUGGAAAUCAAAUUGUAGAGAGGAAAAUGAUCCUAUCAAAUGUUUCCUAAGUUAUUUAGAUUGUGAUACCUUUAACCAUGGUGAUCGCAAGACAUGGGCAAAUAGCACAAGUGUUUUCAAGAACUGUGAUCCAAGCAAUAAUAAUUUCGAUUAUGGUAUAUUUGAAGAUGCAGUGUCAAAAAAGGUUGUCUCCUCUAACUUCAUUGAAAAGUAUUUCUACUGCUUGUGGUGGGGCUUACAGCAACUAAGUUCAUAUGGGCAGAAUUUGUCGACUAGCACAUAUAUUGGUGAGACAUCAUUUGCCAUUCUCAUUUCCAUCUUGGGUCUUGUUCUCUUUGCCCACUUGAUUGGCAAUAUGCAGGUACUGGAAAAUGUUUUACUCAGGUUUCAUCAUCCUAUUUUUAUUGUGCUUUCUUACUCUCUUGGUUUGAAAUAAAUUGAAGCAUCUAUUUCGUUGUGUUUUCAGUUGUAGGUUUUUACUGAAAGUUUAUCAGUUUCCUAGUUCUCCUCCACCAAUUUGUACCAUCAUGCUACACAUUGAAAAAUAUGCUCUAGUUUCUCCAACCAUAGUUGAGUCAAUUGAAAAACCUUGCCCCUAAUUUAUUGGUUUAACAUGUUUAUGCAUUCCCAGGACUUAUACCUGAUGCAUUGCAAGUCUAGACUGUUUUUGUGGACACUAUAAUCUCCUUCCACCACCCCGCCCCCCCUCCCUCCCUCCCUAACCCUCAGAACUGUGCUAUCACAUUGUCAAGAUAUUUACUUUUGGCAGUUGACACUUUAUGUGAUGUCUGUUCCUGAAAAUAAGAAGCUUAGUACUAAAAAUUUGUUUCUUGCGUCUUGCAACCAAAUGGCUGAUCCUUUUUCUAUUCCCUUUCUUCAUACUCAUGAGUACAAGUUCGAAUGUUCUGAUGAUGCAUUCUUCACUAAACAUUUGAAGAAGCAAAAACGGUUAACAUUGAACUGAGCUAUAUUAUGCUUGUUACUUUCAAUGGCCAUUUCCUGAUGCUGGAAAAGUGAUAUUGCCCUUUAAAUGUCUUGGGCUUGCAAUCAAUAUAUUAAGGGGCCUUGGUGCCGGGAUAUAUUGCUUCUCAUAGAAGUGCUAAAUGAUAAGAUUGUGCCUAGAAUUUUAUUCCUAGGUUUGGUUGGACCAUAUUUGAGUGAUGCUUUUUGUAAUUGUUAGUGUAUCUAUAUUGUUUAAUGGUUUUAACAUUUGUUUAUGAGGUAGACAUACCUUCAGUCCCUUACCGUGAGACUUGAGGAGUGGAGGCUUAAGCGAAGAGAUACUGAGGAGUGGAUGAGGCAUCGCCAACUCCCUGAAGAUCUGAAAAGGCAGGUUAGACGUUUUGUUCAAUAUAAGUGGCUUGCAACUCGAGGAGUACAUGAAGAAUCUAUCCUGGGUGGUUUACCUGCUGAUCUUCGGCGUGAUAUCCAGCGCCACUUAUGCUUGGACCUUGUUCUACGUGUCCCUUUCUUCUCACAGAUGGAUGAUCAGUUGCUUGAUGCAAUAUGUGAGCGUCUGGUUUCUUCUCUUAGCACUGCAGGCACCUAUAUUGUACGUGAGGGUGACCCUGUAACAGAAAUGCUAUUUGUUAUCAGAGGCAGACUGGAGAGUUCUACUACCAAUGGAGGCCGAACUGGUUUCUUCAACUCAAUUACUUUGAUACCUGGGGAUUUUUGCGGAGAGGAGCUACUGGCUUGGGCAUUGCAUCCGAAAUCGUCUCUUAACUUGCCUUCCUCAACUAGGACAGUCAGAGCUCUAAAUGAAGUUGAAGCUUUCGCAUUGAGAGCUGAAGAUCUAAAGUUUGUUGCCAACCAAUUCAGACGUCUCCAUAGCAAAAGGCUGCAGCAUACAUUCAGGUAUCAUUCCCAUCAUUGGAGGACGUGGGCAGCCUGUUUCAUACAGGCUGCUUGGCUUCGGCAUAAGAGAAGGAUGAUGGAGAAUAAUCUUACCAUUUCAGAAUCCUUUGCUUUGGAUGGAAAAGAGACUAAUGAAACGGGGCAACGGGAAGGAGACCAUUUUUCAGAUGGUCCAAGUUCUCAGGCAAAAAUGAACCUUGGGGUCACAAUACUGGCUUCAAGAUUUGCUGCAAACACAAGGAGAGGAGCUCAAAAGAUUAAGGAUGCUGAGAUGCCAAAACUACGUAAGCCUGAUGAACCUGACUUUUUUGCUGAUGAUGAAUAGUGCUAGCUUUCUCUGCCAAAGGUGAAAGGCCAAAAUUGUUUCAUAAGAGCCAGAAAACAAUUUGAUGGCUCUGGAAUCCAAUAUCUUACACAAAUGAACUUCGCUGACAAUUUGAAUGUCCUUCCUUUUCCUGAGAGAAGAGGGGAAGAGAGCGAGAGGAACAUGGGGAGUGGUUUUAUUGUAUGCUGCGGUACCUUGUGAUUUUUUUUUUCCCUUUUUUUUAAUAAAAUCUUUAGCAAUCACCUCAAAAAAAAAAAGCAGAAGUACAAUUGUCACCAAAAUCUUGUCAUGUCAUCUGUCAGUUUGUCACUUCUUAUUUUAAGUGUACUUGGUUAUUAAGGGAUGAAUUGAAGAUAUACUUCCAAUUUUCCUUUACC